Molecule: non-coding RNA, 65 nt
Organism: Mercenaria mercenaria
Lineage: Eukaryota; Metazoa; Mollusca; Bivalvia; Venerida; Veneridae
Source: the annotation of a RefSeq genome assembly
GGUAAGGUAGUUUAAAUAAAAUAUAAGAUUGUCAUUCUUAAAAUACAUCUGGAGUGUUCUUACUU